CAUUAGAUACAAAAUCAUAUGUAUCAUGUCAUUCAAAACAUAUUUGAUUCGUAACAAAUGGAGCAUAGAGUAAUUGGAGCAUAUCAAUAGCGUACGAGAUGUUCCGGAGCAUAUCAAUGGCAAAUGGUACAUUUCGAAGCAUAUCAAUAACAAAUGAAACAUAUCGGAGCUUAUCAAUGGCAUAUGAAUUGUUCCGGAGCAUAUCAAUGGCGUAUGGAACAUUUCGAAGCAUAUCAAUAACAAAUGAAAUGUUUCGGAGCUUAUCAAUGGCAUAUGAAAUGUUCCGGAGCAUAUCAAUGGCAUAUGGAACAUUUCGAAGCAUAUCAAUAGUGAAUGAAACUUUUCAGAGCAUAUCAAUAACAAAUACCAUACAGAAGCUCAAACGUCGUCUUUGACGUUGCAAUCAUAUCAUUCUUAUCCAAAGCAUGUACAUAAACACAUAACCAAAGCUCUGGAUAUCAUAUCAAACAUAUAGAAGGUGUAGUGGGAUCUCAAACAAAAUUGUGAUUCAUCCAUUUCUGAAUGACCACCAGACAGAAGUCUCCCACGUCUGGGAGCUCCAUCCACCCACGUCUAUAUAAAGUCAGAGGGGGCCGGCAGAGCAUCGCAGGCUCUAAGCACAUACCCUUUACCAUUUCUGGCAAAGGUCCAGACAAUCCCACAAACACCAGAGUACAAGAGGGCAGUUUUAUCAAUAAGUAGCAUAUAUCGGAAGCACACGCGGAAACAACAAAACGUACAUGUGCCUUUUCGAGACAAUACGAUGCAAGCAAUAAUCUUUCACAAUGGUAUUCGGAUUUUGAAAGAAAAUGGAAUAGGCACAUAUCGAAAGCAAAUGCAGAACAAUGGGAUACACAUGUGCCUAAAUGAGUCAAUACGAUAUAGCAUAAACGUUACACAAUAGUUUUCAAGAAUGCAAAUAACUUUAAGGACAAGAGCAUAUAAGAAUUCAAAGUAGUAAUAAAAAGCUCAAUUGAAUAAGAAAGCUAAAGGAUAUCAAUUUCCAAAGGAAUGAAACCAGAAUAUUAGAAAUCGACCAAAGCUCGAUUUCUGGCAGAAUACAAGAGGCACAUUGAACAAAUGAUUCAAACUAUCAAUCGUGCUCCAAUUUACUCAGAAAUAUAUCAUUGGAUUAUACUUUCAGAUAAGACUGGCUUCAUAUGAAUUGAACUGUCUAAUAGAGAGAGUUACAAAUAAUUUGGUAAACAAGGGUCGUAGAACAAAAUCUCUGUUUGGCAGAAUUCAUAAUAUCAGAUUCAACAGAUAACUGGGCAGGUGUUUGGAUUCCAAAUCUUUCAAUCCAUAUAUCAAAAGAAAGAUCUAUGAGUCUAGUUUCCAAUGAAAUAAGCUUUGAAUAAAUCAAUGUUUGCAACAGGGACUUAUAAGCAGUUCAGUAUCAAAAGGUCAGAAAUUACGAUCCCUGUUUUGCAGAAUCUGUAGGCUCAUUUGAAACAGAAGUUUGGGCAGACAAACUUACUCCGAAUUCUUAAAAUAAGCUAUCAAACAAAGGUUUAUGAGUCUAUAUUCUGAUCAAAUAAGAUUUGUCCAAAUCAGAUGUCAAUACAUGAAGUUAUAAUCAUAACAAGGUAGAAAGGUCAGAAUCUUGGAAGUUGCACAGAUUCGAAUCGUUACGCCUAAACAGGAGAUAUAUCAAGUGCAAGGCUAGAACAAUUCAAAGUUUCUCAUAUUCAAAGCAAAUGUAGAGAUAAAAUUGCAGUGAGGAAAGAUCAGGAUACUUGCAAUAGGUAAGAUUAGAACAAUUACAAGAGAAACGAUCAGGAAACUUGC
Molecule: long non-coding RNA, 1788 nt
Filed under: Musa acuminata (dwarf banana)
Lineage: Eukaryota; Viridiplantae; Streptophyta; Magnoliopsida; Zingiberales; Musaceae
Description: long non-coding RNA (MACU_LNC001234)
Source: RNAcentral